This 384-nucleotide unclassified non-coding RNA is filed under the name soil metagenome. Its description in RNAcentral is "partial contains 5.8S ribosomal RNA, internal transcribed spacer 2, and large subunit ribosomal RNA". The stretch from base 1 to 120 matches the Rfam family "5.8S ribosomal RNA", at positions 35 to 154 of the family's 154-position model. The record is from RNAcentral.
GAUGAAGAACGUAGUGAAAUGCGAUAAGUAAUGUGAAUUGCAGAAUUCAGUGAAUCAUCGAAUCUUUGAACGCACCUUGCGCUCCUUGGUAUUCCGAGGAGCAUGCCUGUUUGAGUGUCAUUAAAUUCUCAACCUCACCCGUUUUCUGAACGGGUCGAGGCUUGGAUGUGGGGGUUUGUGCAGGCUGCCUCACUGGCGGUCUGCUCCCCUGAAAUGCAUUAGCGAGGUUCAUGCUGAACUUCCGUCUAUUGGUGUGAUAAUUAUCUACGCCGUGGACGAGGAUCAGACUCGCUUCUAACUGUCCGCGAGGACAAUACCUUGACAAUUUGACCUCAAAUCAGGUAGGACUACCCGCUGAACUUAAGCAUAUCAAUAAGCGGAGGG